RNAcentral lists this ribosomal RNA (274 nucleotides) under uncultured bacterium. Its description in RNAcentral is "partial 16S ribosomal RNA". It matches the Rfam family "Bacterial small subunit ribosomal RNA", at positions 523 to 796 of the family's 1533-position model. The record is from RNAcentral.
AUACGGAGGGUCCGAGCGUUAUCCGGAAUCAUUGGGUUUAAAGGGUCCGUAGGCGGGAAUCUAAGUCAGUGGUGAAAUCUUGCAGCUCAACUGUAAAAUUGCCAUUGAUACUGGAUUUCUUGAAUUAGUGUGAAGUGGUUAGAAUGUGUAGUGUAGCGGUGAAAUGCAUAGAUAUUACACAGAAUACCAAUUGCGAAGGCAGAUCACUAACACUAUAUUGACGCUGAGGGACGAAAGCGUGGGGAGCGAACAGGAUUAGAUACCCUGGUAGUCC